AACAAUAGCUUGGGGUACUGGAACUCCGCAUUGACUCGGAAGAGUCGGUGGAAGACCGGUUGAGAUUAUACCCAUUAACCUGAUUCGGAUAAUGCCGACGUAGGGAACGCUGAUCUCAAGCGCA
This 124-nucleotide non-coding RNA is filed under the name Bacteroides sp. RNAcentral describes it as "TPP sequence". It matches the Rfam family "TPP riboswitch aptamer (THI element)". Rfam says of the family: Vitamin B(1) in its active form thiamin pyrophosphate (TPP) is an essential coenzyme that is synthesised by coupling of pyrimidine and thiazole moieties in bacteria. The previously detected thiamin-regulatory element, thi box was extended, resulting in a new, highly conserved RNA secondary structure, the THI element, which is widely distributed in eubacteria and also occurs in some archaea. The record is from RNAcentral. Lineage: Bacteria; Pseudomonadati; Bacteroidota; Bacteroidia; Bacteroidales; Bacteroidaceae.